AUUGAACGCUGGCGGCAGGCCUAACACAUGCAAGUCGAGCGGAUGAAGGGAGCUUGCUCCUGGAUUCAGCGGCGGACGGGUGAGUAAUGCCUAGGAAUCUGCCUGGUAGUGGGGGAUAACGUCCGGAAACGGGCGCUAAUACCGCAUACGUCCUGAGGGAGAAAGUGGGGGAUCUUCGGACCUCACGCUAUCAGAUGAGCCUAGGUCGGAUUAGCUAGUUGGUGGGGUAAAGGCCUACCAAGGCGACGAUCCGUAACUGGUCUGAGAGGAUGAUCAGUCACACGGGAACUGAGACACGGUCAGACUCCUACGGGAGGCAGCAGUGGGGAAUAUUGGACAAUGGGCGAAAGCCUGAUCCAGCCAUGCCGCGUGUGUGAAGAAGGUCUUCGGAUUGUAAAGCACUUUAAGUUGGGAGGAAGGGCAGUAAGUUAAUACCUUGCUGUUUUGACGUUACCAACAGAAUAAGCACCGGCUAACUUCGUG
RNAcentral lists this ribosomal RNA (483 nucleotides) under uncultured bacterium. Its description in RNAcentral is "partial 16S ribosomal RNA". It matches the Rfam family "Bacterial small subunit ribosomal RNA", at positions 30 to 507 of the family's 1533-position model. The record is from RNAcentral.